RNAcentral lists this long non-coding RNA (3104 nucleotides) under Olea europaea subsp. europaea. The record is from RNAcentral. Lineage: Eukaryota; Viridiplantae; Streptophyta; Magnoliopsida; Lamiales; Oleaceae.
GGAAAACACGGGAAACAACCCAAAUUAAACCAACCCUUACCUCUCUCUCUCUCUCUCUCUCUCUUUCCUGUAACUCUUCUCGCCUCUCUAGCAGUAGGGUUUUCUAUGCUCCUCCGCCAGCCUCGGUGAACUCUUCUCGCCUCUCCAAUAGGUAUAUCUCUAUGUAUUUGUUUGUAUUGCUUGGGGAUUGGGGAUAAAUGUUUUGAUUUUGGCUGGUACAUAUUUGUUUGAAUUGUUGGUGUAGAUAUUUGAUUGCUGUGGAUAUUGUAUUCAUAUAAAAGAGUCAAGCAUUGUUUUUGGUUUUUGAAAUUUCGGGUGGGUUUUGUUUUUUGCAUCAAAAUUUCUGCAUUUUUAAUUGUUUUGGCCUUUUUGAAUUUAGAAUUUGAUUAGGAAUUCGUAGUUUAUCAGUUUAUGUAAUACUGGCCUUUUCUCCCUUUAAUCCUGACUAAUUUUAAGUUUCAGAAUGAUUUUUUUCUUCUUUUUGAUUUUGAAUUUUUAAUUAGGGUCAACGAUUCAUAUUUAGAAUUUUUAUUAUGUUAGAAUUUGCCUUUUUUUUUUUGUAGUAUUUAUGAUUCUAGGCUACGUGAUUGAGUUUUUGGUUAAUUUGACUAUAAAAUUUUGUGUGUGCGUGUGUGUGUGUAAUGGAGGGAGGAAUUUUGUAGGUAUUAUGUUACUUAAUAUGUAGGGAAAUGAUCUUUUGAAGAUGCCUUAAGCUGAGAGUUGUAUUGAUUAACAUAGUUUAGAAUGGAAUCUUCUGCUGUGAAAAUCAGAAAAUGAUUAUCCAUGAAUGUAUAACUUAUUGUGCGUUUUACCUUUGAAAUAUGAAUGAUCACAUUUUCACGUUUUAUCAAUUAAUAUAAUACAUUUGGUGCCUACUCUUGUUAUGCAUAAUUUUUGUUUGAUGUAUUAUUGAAAUGGUUGUUGAGUUCUCAUGAUAGCGAAGUAAGGUUAAUUUGCUUUCAACAGUUAAACGAGUCAAUAAAGCAAUUCAAUUUUUUUGGUAUUUUACUUGUAGCAUGACCGGGUUUAUGUUCUUUUUCUGGUUUCUGAAAUUGGUUUGGUUUGUGAGGCUAUCAUCAUGUCCGGUUGCAUAUAUAUUGAGUUUUUUUUAUUGAAGUAUAAAAUUUGAUGUGAGCCGCGGGGGGGGGGGGGGGGGGGGGGGGGGUGGGGCAGGGGGGGAGCUUCCCUGGUCUCAAGUCCAAAUUUUUUUCCAAUAGUUAAUUUUGAUGUUGGGCAUUCUGGGUUUUUCAUUUUUUUCCAUACGUUAGGAGCUUUUCUCUUCAAAAUCUACUGGAAUUGUUUGGUAGAUCAGAACCACAUUAUAUACUUCAGGCAAGCUUUAUCAACUUUCUUUUCAAUACUAUUGGAGAAUUGCUUAGUUGUAAAACAUAUUACAGUGUUCUUGUGAGUAAUCAAGUCAAAGUCAUUUGGAAGAUGCUGAAAUUUCUGCUCACUUUUUUUGUUGAUGCAAUGCAAUGCAUCAAUGAAGUAACUUCUUAUUACUUUUCCAACUUGGUAUCUGCUAGUAGUAAUUUCAUUGCAAAGAUUCUUGAAUUUGUAAGUUAAAAUGAUGUUUGGCAAUGUGUUGAUCUUUAUAAUUAUGGGUACAUGUGUUAGUAUGCUUUUGAGCAUUUGGUGGUAUGUGACUAUAAUUAAAUACAUUAAUAUAUCUUCAAAUCGCCCACGGAAGGUCUUAUAUAUUUGAUGAUAAUUUGAUGUAUAUGAAUAUAGCGUCAAUAUGGGUGGUUAUAGAGUUCGGAAUAAGGAACCAAUGUCAUGGUCGGACGAGAAUGAACACGCUUUUAUUGAAAUUCUUUACGAGAAAGUGAAAUCAAAUGCAUUGCAAUGUUCUACAUUCACAAGAGACGAAUGGGGCAGGAUCAAUGAAAUCAUGAUAGCUUCAACAAAAAUGGAUUACGGCAUAGAUAGCUUAAAAGGAAAGUGGAACCGCUUGCGUAAGAUUCAUCGCAUGUUCUCUGAACUUUUGGGACAUACGAGUGUUACAUGGGAUCCAAAUACCAACAAAGUUAAUGCUGCAGAGGAAGUUUGGCAACACUCUUAUACGGUACAUAUAUUUAUGAAAGAAUAUGUUCGUCCUUAUUUUUUAUCUUAUCAAUUUUAUAUUAUUUUCUUCAACACGCUAACAAUGUUGUUUCUUUUUUCAAUGUUAGAUUAACAAGUCGGAUUACAAGUUGCUCAAGAGGGAAGGAUGUAAGCACUACCACACUCUUGGGGAGAUAUUCAGCGGGACUACAGCUACUGGAGGAUUAGGCAGUGCCUCCACCUAGCAUCCAAACACAUCAGAGGAAGAAAGGCAGCUAAAAGAUGAUUUUUUUGAAUAGAGGAGUACAUGUGACUGCAGAAAAUGAUGAUGAAGUCGAUGUGGUUUCAAAUACUCGCCCACGUAACGAAAUUGGUACAUCAGGUAAACGACGACGUAAGGAACCUAAGGUCUGUAAAAGUGAUAAACUCGAGGCUUAUAUCGCACAAUGGUCAUUUACAGUUAAUUUGAGGAAUGAAGAAACUGAACUUAGAACACUUUACCUAAAAGAGAAGCUUGCAAAGAUCAAAGGAAAAGGUAGUUGUCAAUUAGAUAAUGAAGUUACUAGUCCAGAUCUUUAUUCAGAUGUUACUUGCUUGGACAUUUUAAACAAUAUCGAAAGGGUGUCUAAUGAGGUUUACAUGAAAGCAAUAAAGGCUUUCAACGAUCCCGAUUUCAGGGUGUCAUUUGUGAAGAUACUAGAAGCAAGGAGAUGACCUAUCUUGGAACUACUUUGAUGUGACUAUUGUUUUAAUAUGUGAUUGUUGUUAUGUUGAAGUACCAUGUUAAACUCGAGGCUUGAAGUACUUUCCUUCCCCAUUUUGUGGUGAUGUUGUACUAUUUUCAUUUACAAACAUUGUGAUAUUGUUGGUUGGAGAACUGAUGUUGAUUUGUCUUCACUUUUUUAAUGCUUGAUUGCUUGUUUUAUUGAAUUAAUGGUGGUUGAUAUGACUUAUGAUAAUUAAUUUGGUUAUAUUUUGUUCGCAUUAUGGCUAGUGAAUCAAAUGUGGAUGAUAAUUUGCAUGUCGAUGAGUCCAUUGAGGAAGAAUCGAGUGAUGAUGAG